RNAcentral lists this ribosomal RNA (408 nucleotides) under uncultured bacterium. RNAcentral describes it as "partial 16S ribosomal RNA". It matches the Rfam family "Bacterial small subunit ribosomal RNA", at positions 28 to 526 of the family's 1533-position model. The record is from RNAcentral.
GACGAACGCUGGCGGCGUGCUUAACACAUGCAAGUCGAAGAUAUGGGCGAACAGGUGAGUAAUACGUGGUUGACCUGCCCUCCUUUUUGGGAUAAGCAUUGGUAACGGGGUCUACUACCGCAUAAAGGGGCAUGGGCUCGCGGCCUAUCAGCUUGUUGGUGGGGUGGUGGCCUACCAAGGAGGUGACGGGUAGCCGGACUGAGAGGGUGACCGGGAACAUUGGGACGGAGAGACGGCCCAGGCUGCUAAGGGAGGGAGAAGUGGGGGAUAUGGCACAAUGGGCGACAGCCUGAGGCAGCGACGCCGCGUGGGGGAUGAGGGCGUUCGGGUUGUAAAUCUCUGUCGCAAGAGAACGGGUAGGUGGCGAAGAAGCGCCGGCUAACUACGUGCCAGCAGCCGCGGUAAUUC